GUGCCAGCCGCCGCGGUAAUACCGGCAGCCCAAGUGAUGGCCGAUCUUAUUGGGCCUAAAGCGUCCGUAGCUGGCUACGCAAGUCCGUCGGGAAAUCCACUCGCCCAACGAGUGGGCGUCCGACGGAAACUGCAUAGCUUGGGACCGGAAGGCUCGAAGGGUACGUGCGGGGUAGGAGUGAAAUCCCAUAAUCCCGCACGGACCACCGAUGGCGAAAGCACUUCGAGAAAACGGAUCCGACAGUGAGGGACGAAAGCCAGGGUCUCCAACCGGAUUAGAAACCCGAUCC
Molecule: ribosomal RNA, 289 nt
Filed under: uncultured bacterium
Lineage: Bacteria
Description: partial 16S ribosomal RNA
Rfam family: Archaeal small subunit ribosomal RNA
Source: RNAcentral